GCUCGGAUGAUCCUCGUUGGUACGGGGUACAGGCUUCAAACCUGUGGCCGAUUAGCGUCGGAGUGGUUCGAUUCCACCUUCUGAGCG
This is a non-coding RNA of Rhopilema esculentum, 87 nucleotides long. Lineage: Eukaryota; Metazoa; Cnidaria; Scyphozoa; Rhizostomeae; Rhizostomatidae. The record is from the annotation of a RefSeq genome assembly.